Long non-coding RNA from Malania oleifera, 2218 nucleotides. RefSeq lists it as uncharacterized. The transcript has 3 exons. NCBI's taxonomy places the organism in Eukaryota, Viridiplantae, Streptophyta, Magnoliopsida, Santalales, Ximeniaceae. The record is from RefSeq and is a predicted model, not a curated record.
CCAUCUCAAAACCCUAGUUCUUCGUUAGCUCACAUGUCGCAACCCUUCGCUGUCGCUGUCUGUGUCUGUAAGAGGGGGAUGGGUUUGGCGCCUCUUAGAGUAGCCGUAUGAAUGAUGAUCGUGUUUAUAUGGCUUAGUUAGGAGGCGUAGAUUAAAGGAAGCGGUGGAUCAGAGAAGAAGCUUCUCUGAUCUUUCACUUCAUUGGCGGCCUUUUUGAGGGGACUCUCUUGUGUUGUUUCUGUCAAUUGUCCCCCAAGCAGCCUCCCACAUUACUCCCUCCUCUCUCUGCUUUUUUUUUUGGGUCUGAUUUUUCAUCCUAAAUCCCCCAAGCAGGCAUCGUCGCACUAAAAUUUGGGUACAUUGUCCUUAACGAAUCACUUUGGGGGCUAAGGUGAGAUAUUUUCUAAUCAGUACCCAAAUAGCUGUAAUUUGUUCUUAAGAUGACAGUUAAGUCAUUUCAUCAUCCUCACUGAUUAAAAUAUCAAAUUAGAGCGGAUCAUGUGCGGAGGGGAAUCUUGGAGUUAGGGUUUCUAGACGAUGGUUAUAACUAUUUAAUUCACUUUGGAGAGAUCUAGAAUUUUGGAGGUGGUUCAGCUUUUUAUCAUAACAGCAAGGCGAAGCUGAAUUAGCUUCCGCAUGAUGUUAAGGAUGCUUCUGGAGUACAUAUUAGGGAAGCGAAAGCAGUGGAUAUGACAUUCCGGAAUCAGGAGAUGUGUGCGAUGAGUUGAGACUCCGGAACCUUUUGGAUGAUCAGUUUGAUUUGAAUUUAGCAAAGAUGGGCCCAAGGCUGCAAAAGUUGAUCCAAUAUCUCAGGUUGCUAAGCCUGCGGAGGUAUGACAACUAAAGCAAAUUCUGCUUCUUUGUUGUAUGUGCUGUUGUAGCCUCAACUGCAAAAGUUGAUCCAAUCUCUCUCUCUCUCUCUCUCUCUCUCUCUCUCUGUGAGAGGGAGAUGAGUUUGAUGCCUCUUUGAGUAGCCGUAUUAAUGAUGAUCGUGUUUAUAUGGCUUAGUUAGGAGGCAUAUAUUAAAGGAAGCAGUGGAUCAGAGAAGAAGCUUCUCUCUGAUCUUUAAUUUCACCGGUGGCCUUUUUGAGGGGACUCUCUCGUUUUGUUCUGUCAAUUGUCCUCCAAGCAGCCUCCCACAUUGCUCCCUCCCACUUUCUGUGUUUUUUUUUAAUCUGAUUCUUCAUCCUAAGUCCUCAAAUGUGUGUGUAUAUAUAUAUAUAUAUAUAUAUAUGUAUGAUCCAAUGAUUAGUUUUUGUUUUUGGCUUUUAGGAUUAUUUGCCUCUCAAAUGACUGGAAAGGCAACUUGGAUUUUAAUGCCACUUAUCAUUCUAAUUCUUUUCAGACACUGGUGCACAGAAAUUCUGGUACUUUGACCUUACGAAUUGCAUUGAGCAUAAGGCAAGAUUUUUUGUGUUUAGUACCAUAAUUGUUGUAAUGGGUUGUUAAGAAAUGGUUUGAUCAAUGGGCAAUUCAUUUCAUUAUCCCCACUUAUUAAAAUAUAUUAAUGGAUGCAUCUACUUGAGGGGGAUUCUUCUGUCUGUCUUCCAAUAAUUGUCUAGUGUUAAUGUUUGCCUCCCGAAUAACCCGGAAAGUUCAGAUUGAUUUUAGUCACCGUUCGGUUCAGAUGGGGGCAUACAACAAUUUGGGAUAAAUAAUCUCUUUUCCAAAUCAGUUUGAGGGUGAGGAAUGAUUUCCUUCUUUGCAGUUCCUUUCCUAGAUUGUUUUGGAUAAUAUUCGUUCUUCCUUUCAUUUGUUUGGUUAUUUUGCUUCUGAAUUUAAAUUUUUUAUUUGUUUAUUUAAAGUAUAGGUUUGAUUUGAGUGGAAAGAAUGGGAACCAACCAAAUGAUGAGUAUUGGAUAAAAAUUCUCACACGGUCGUCUGAGUCUCAUUGAUGCAAAUGUUCCAAUGCUUCUGAUGGGUUUCAUUUGUUCAAUGAUUGUUUUGUUUUGUUUUGUUUUUUUGUAGAGCAAGCAUGAUGAUGAUUUGUACAUUAAAAUUCCGAUAAAUUCAUGAUUGGAAUACAGUAUCCUCCUACUCAUUCUGAGUGCUUGUAAUCUUUGAAGUUUAGGGACUUUUUGUAUUUACACCCAUGAAACCAAACGCUGCUGAUGGUUUAUUUGUGUUUAAUGGUACUUCCUUUGUUUUGUAUUAGUUGAUUUUUGUUUUGUAUUUUUUUAGUAAGAAAAUACAAUCCAUCCCCCCCUACUUUGUUUUA